This 620-nucleotide ribosomal RNA is filed under the name Lactobacillus delbrueckii subsp. bulgaricus. RNAcentral's name for it is "bacterial LSU rRNA". It matches the Rfam family "Bacterial large subunit ribosomal RNA", at positions 601 to 1224 of the family's 2925-position model. The record is from RNAcentral. Lineage: Bacteria; Bacillati; Bacillota; Bacilli; Lactobacillales; Lactobacillaceae.
CGCCUUUUGUAGAAUGAACCGGCGAGUUGCGUUAGUCAGCAAGGUUAAGUCAGAAAAGACGGAGCCGUAGCGAAAGCGAGUCUGAAGAGGGCGAGCAGUUGGCUGACGCAGACCCGAAACCAAGUGACCUACCCAUGACCAGGUUGAAGGCGCGGUAAAACGCGCUGGAGGACCGAACCCACGUAAGUUGAAAAUUGCGGGGAUGAGUUGUGGGUAGCGGUGAAAUUCCAAACGAACUUGGAGAUAGCUGGUUCUCUCCGAAAUAGCUUUAGGGCUAGCCUCGCAAAGAGGAUGCUGGAGGUAGAGCUCUGUUUGGACUAGGGGCCCGUCAAGGGUUACUGAAUUCAGAUAAACUGCGAAUUCCAGACAUUUAUGUGCGGGAGUCAGACUGCGAGUGAUAAGAUCCGUAGUCGAAAGGGAAACAGCCCAGAUCACCAGUUAAGGUCCCAAAAUUCAUGCUAAGUGGAAAAGGAUGUGGAGUUGCGCAGACAACUAGGACGUUGGCUCAGAAGCAGCCAUCAUUCAAAGAGUGUGUAAUAGCUCACUAGUCGAGUGACGCCGCGCCGAAAAUUUACCGGGGCUAAGCAUGAUACCGAAACUGUGGAUGUGCGUUUAUGCAC